UCAUGCUCUAACCAACUGAGCUAAUCAGCCGCCCCUGGUGUUUCAUUCUUAAGGGAGGAAAAAGAGUCAGCCUCCUGAGAAACGCUGCUCUGGGACCCACCCAGCAUCCUAAGGGUGUGCCUGGACUUUAGGGGGCCUUCUGGAGACUAUCUUCACAAGAGAAGGGAUGACUAAGGACAGGACUUUUCGGUGCCGGGGCCGCCUCAUGAGGAAGCCGUCUUUAAGCUGGGCAAGGCCAUCUGAGAUGAGGAAAAGCUGAAAUCAGUGCCUGGGAUGUCCAAGCUGGCGCUCCGGCAAGGCCCACAGUGAGAAAGUUUCAGCCAAGGCUCCCAGCAUUCUUCAGAUGUUGCAACAGACCCCCUUCUUACCAUGUGAAUUUUCUGGUGUGUCCUUGUCUGACUAUUGGGUGAUGGUGGCUCACAUUGUCAUUUCAUUGUGAGUCAUCAACCUCAGGAAUUUUCCAUCGAGGGCAAGCUCAACCCUGAUGAAACCUUUGAGGCCCCCCUUCAGGCCUAUCUCAUCCCCGACAC
Long non-coding RNA from Rhinolophus ferrumequinum (greater horseshoe bat), 530 nucleotides. RefSeq lists it as uncharacterized. The record is from RefSeq and is a predicted model, not a curated record. NCBI's taxonomy places the organism in Eukaryota, Metazoa, Chordata, Mammalia, Chiroptera, Rhinolophidae. The transcript is spliced from 4 exons.